GAAAUCCGUGGUGUAGCGGGUAUCACGUGUGCUUCACACGCGCAAGUCCCCGAUUCGAUCCUGGGCGGAAACU
Molecule: non-coding RNA, 73 nt
Organism: Cordylochernes scorpioides
Lineage: Eukaryota; Metazoa; Arthropoda; Arachnida; Pseudoscorpiones; Chernetidae
Source: the annotation of a GenBank genome assembly